CGUAAGUACCUUUACCAGGUCUUGACAUACUAUGCAAAUCUAAGAGAUUAGACGUUCCCUUCGGGGACAUGGAUACAGGUGGUGCAUGGUUGUCGUCAGCUCGUGUCGUGAGAUGUUGGGUUAAGUCCCGCAACGAGCGCAACCCUUAUUAUCAGUUGCCAGCAUUAAGUUGGGCACUCUGGUGAGACUGCCGGUGACAAACCGGAGGAAGGUGGGGAUGACGUCAAAUCAUCAUGCCCCUUAUGACCUGGGCUACACACGUGCUACAAUGGAUGGUACAACGAGUUGCGAACUCGCGAGAGUAAGCUAAUCUCUUAAAGCCAUUCUCAGUUCGGAUUGUAGGCUGCAACUCGCCUACAUGAAGUCGGAAUCGCUAGUAAUCGCGGAUCAGCAUGCCGCGGUGAAUAUUUUCCCCGGGCA
RNAcentral lists this ribosomal RNA (420 nucleotides) under Lactiplantibacillus plantarum. RNAcentral describes it as "bacterial SSU rRNA". It matches the Rfam family "Bacterial small subunit ribosomal RNA", at positions 960 to 1380 of the family's 1533-position model. The record is from RNAcentral. Lineage: Bacteria; Bacillati; Bacillota; Bacilli; Lactobacillales; Lactobacillaceae.